UUUAUUACAUGAUACUCACGGCAGGGCCAGCAAAUCCGUUGGGACCAGCGGGACCAACUUCACCACGUUCACCCUAGGGCUACCACGAGGACCAGCGGGACCAGCAGGACCAGCAGCACCAGCUUCACCCUACGAUGGGGCCAAAGAUGAGCUUGUUAAUGUGCCAAACACAAAUGCUCACAGAGUUGGAAGGAGAGGGAUGCCAGCAGCACCCCUCUCUCCGGGGAGUCCGCCAGGACCAGAGGCACCAGCACUGCCCGGAGCACCAACGGAUCCAGCUCACUUCCUUAUAAGUGUGGUUUAAGAAACAACAACAUUUUAAAUGGUAAAAGAACCCCAGGGGAUGUCAUCGUGGAAAGAACAUGAUGGAAUGAUGUCAGGCGGCCUCACAGGAAGGGUGUCCUAGAUGAAUGCCGUGUGGAUAGAUCUACACAGAAGUUAGCACCUACCCGGACACCCGCAAGACCAGCAUGACCUUUUUCUCCAGAUUCCUCGUCCUUGAAUUCUGUUGUCCGAGGAAUGAUCCAUCGCCCUGCAGCUCCCUAUACAACAAGGGACACCUGGGUCUGCAGAAGCAUGACGCAGGAGAUGGAUUUUCAGCAGGUGUACAGUGAGUGAUACACUGGACUCUGACUUUUAAUAUGGUAAGCGGCUUGCAAUUUUCCCAUGUUGAGAGGAACCCCUUCGAAAUAGAGUAAACUGAGGCAAGCGAGAAAUACCAGAGUUUUGGUGAAAUGUGGCCAAAAAAUAAAAGUGCCAAGGGA
Molecule: long non-coding RNA, 764 nt
Organism: Myotis davidii
Lineage: Eukaryota; Metazoa; Chordata; Mammalia; Chiroptera; Vespertilionidae
Exons: 5
Source: RefSeq, a predicted model, not a curated record